Molecule: long non-coding RNA, 1946 nt
Filed under: Sus scrofa (pig)
Lineage: Eukaryota; Metazoa; Chordata; Mammalia; Artiodactyla; Suidae
Description: lncRNA (ENSSSCG00045016967.1)
Source: RNAcentral
CACAGGUGAGAGAGUUUGAGUGCACAGGUGUGCGUGCGUGUGAGCGUGCGUGCGUGCGUGCGAGAAGGUCAGAGUGCGCCGCGUGUCCGUGAGUGAAAGUGCGCGUUUUUGUGUUCAGAUGGAGGACGCCCCCAGCUCCCAGAAGAGCGGGCGACUUUCUUCCUCUCACGACUUGGGGAGAGGAGGAGGAGGACCGUUUCCGACGUGGACAGGUUUCGACGUCUUAGGGGUCCAGGUAAAGGCGAUUCAAUUAUGGGAUAUGAGGCUGGUCAGGAAGCAUGAGAGCCUGCACCAUCCUGCAGGCCACAGAGACCUUCGGUGGACAGUUCUGAAUGGGAUAAAGCCUGCAGGCCAGUACUCCCAUGAGAGCUCUUCUCCCACAGGUGAGAUCUGCCUGGCAUGUCAACCAUCCAGGAGGACAGUCUGCAACACGUAUCACCUGAGGUGAGGGUGGAGGUGAGGUUCAGUGGCUAAAAGAACAGCUUUUUGAGGAGUUCCCAUCAUGGCACAGUGGAAACGAAUCCAACUAGGAACGAUGAGGUUGCUGGUUUGAUCCCUGGCCUCGCUCAGUGGGUUAAGGAUCUGGUGUUGCUGUGGCUGUGGUGUAGGCCAGCAGCUGUAGUUCCGAUUUGACCCAUAGCCUGGGAACAUCUAUAUGCCGCGCGUGUGGCCCUAAAAAGACAAAAGACAAAAAAUAACAAAACAAACAAACAAAAAACAGCUGUUUGAGACAGCCAUGCUCAAGGCUGGGGGGAUGGCACAGAGAGGGUGCAGUCCUGGGAAGGGGAGGGUAAGGUGAGGCAGGUCAGAGAAGGUCAAGGCAGCCUGUGGCCCCCACUCCCGGGUCUAAGACCCAGCCCCUACAUUUACCAGGCUCUGGGCUGCCAGUGAGGAGCUAAGGUGGCCGCAGACAAUACCUUGCCCAGAGCUGUGGCCUGGGGUGGGAGGGAAGCCUAGUUCCUUCCAGCACAAAGUGUUCAGGAAGAACUCAGCCUAGGUCCAGCCAGGCCUUUUCGAGGUGCAAUCGACCUGAUAGCCAGGCUAAUGGGACCCUCUGGGCAUCAAGUCCAGGGCGGGGUUGCCUGUAAGCAAGAGUCUCAGGCGCUUCGUCAGCAGGCUGCCUCAUGCAAUAUGUAACAGUGCAUUAACCUGCACUCCCAGGAUGGAGCCAGUGCGGCAGAAUCUGCUGCUACUUGGAAGAAGAGGCACAAGAAUGGGCCUAGGUGGUUCCACGCAGUACCAGGAGGGGGGCAGGAGGUCUGGAUACCACAGCAGAGCCUGUAGGUCCUUUCCUUCCUGCUGCACCCCCCCACCCCCUGCUUCCAUUUGUGCAGAUGAGGUGGGCAGGAAACCUGGCAUUUACACCACGUCACCCCAGCCUCCCCUGAGUGGGACAUUGGUAACUGCUUGCAGCCCCCACCUCCCUUCCAAGCCCAGAUGACUCCUCAGGAUUUUCUUUCUUUUUUCUCUUUUUUUAAAUAGUUAUUUCCCCAAUACAAUUUUUUUUCCUACUGUACAGCAUGGUGACCCAGUUACACAUAUAUGUACACAUUCUAUUUUCACACAUUAUCAUGCUCCAUCUUAAGUGACUAGACAUAGUUCCCAGUGCUACACAGCAGGAUCUCAUUGCUAAUCCAUUCCAAAGGUAAUAGUUUUUAUCUAUUAACCCCAAGCUCCCCAACCACCCUACUCUCUCCUCCUCCCCCUUGGCAACCACAAGUCUAUUCUGCAAGUCCAUAAUUUUAUUUUCUGUGGAAAAGUUCAUUUGUGCCUUAUAUUAGAUUCCAGAUAUAAGUGAUAUCAUAUGGUAUUUGUCUUUUUCUUUCUUCACUCAGUAUGAGAGUCUCUAGUUCCAUCCAUGUUGCUGCAAAUGGCAUUAUUUUGUUCUUUUUUAUGGCUGAGUAGUAUUCCAUUGUGUAUAUAUACCACAUCUUCCGAAUCCAAUC